RNAcentral lists this ribosomal RNA (656 nucleotides) under Ligilactobacillus murinus. Its description in RNAcentral is "bacterial SSU rRNA". It matches the Rfam family "Bacterial small subunit ribosomal RNA", at positions 44 to 667 of the family's 1533-position model. The record is from RNAcentral. Lineage: Bacteria; Bacillati; Bacillota; Bacilli; Lactobacillales; Lactobacillaceae.
GUGCCUAAUACAUGCAAGUCGAACGAAACUUCUUUAUCACCGAGUGCUUGCACUCACCGAUAAAGAGUUGAGUGGCGAACGGGUGAGUAACACGUGGGCAACCUGCCCAAAAGAGGGGGAUAACACUUGGAAACAGGUGCUAAUACCGCAUAACCAUAGUUACCGCAUGGUAACUAUGUAAAAGGUGGCUAUGCUACCGCUUUUGGAUGGGCCCGCGGCGCAUUAGCUAGUUGGUGAGGUAAAGGCUUACCAAGGCAAUGAUGCGUAGCCGAACUGAGAGGUUGAUCGGCCACAUUGGGACUGAGACACGGCCCAAACUCCUACGGGAGGCAGCAGUAGGGAAUCUUCCACAAUGGGCGAAAGCCUGAUGGAGCAACGCCGCGUGGGUGAAGAAGGUCUUCGGAUCGUAAAACCCUGUUGUUAGAGAAGAAAGUGCGUGAGAGUAACUGUUCACGUUUCGACGGUAUCUAACCAGAAAGCCACGGCUAACUACGUGCCAGCAGCCGCGGUAAUACGUAGGUGGCAAGCGUUAUCCGGAUUUAUUGGGCGUAAAGGGAACGCAGGCGGUCUUUUAAGUCUGAUGUGAAAGCCUUCGGCUUAACCGGAGUAGUGCAUUGGAAACUGGGAGACUUGAGUGCAGAAGAGGAGAGUGGAAC